AUUGAACGCUGGCGGCAGGCCUAACACAUGCAAGUCGAACGAGUGGCGGACGGGUGAGUAAUGUCUGGGAAACUGCCUGAUAGAGGGGGAUAACUACUGGAAACGGUAGCUAAUACCGCAUACCAUCGGAUGUGCCCAGAUGGGAUUAGCUAGAAGGUGGGGUAAAGGCUCACCUAGGCGACGCUCCCUAGCUGGUCUGAGAGGAUGACCAUCCACACUGGAACUGAGAGACGGUCCAGACUCCUACGGGAGUCAGCAGGGGGGAAUAUUGCAAAAGGGGGGCAAGCGUGAUGCAGCCAGGCCGCGUGUAGGAAGAAGGCCUUCGGUUUGUAAAGGACUUUCAGCGGGGAGGCGUUACCCGCAGAAGAAGCACCGGCUAACUCCGUGCCAGCAGCCGCGGUAAUAC
RNAcentral lists this ribosomal RNA (406 nucleotides) under uncultured bacterium. RNAcentral describes it as "partial 16S ribosomal RNA". It matches the Rfam family "Bacterial small subunit ribosomal RNA", at positions 29 to 526 of the family's 1533-position model. The record is from RNAcentral.